Long non-coding RNA from Columba livia (rock pigeon), 12252 nucleotides. RefSeq lists it as uncharacterized. The transcript is spliced from 5 exons. The record is from RefSeq and is a predicted model, not a curated record. Lineage: Eukaryota; Metazoa; Chordata; Aves; Columbiformes; Columbidae.
UCGGGGAUGGGGAACGGGGUGAAGGGAGCGCGGGGGGCCCGGGCAGGGCUCGGGGUGCGGACACGGGCUGUCCCCGAGACCCAGCCGAGCGGCCCCGGGCUCUGCCGCCCGUCCUUUCGCAGCGGCCCGAGCCGCCCGGGCUCCCCCCUGCUGCCCGCACCCCUCGGAUCCCCCAGCGGGGCUUUGCCCCCGCUCCCCAAAGCGGAGAGUCCACCCGGCCAAAACCUGUGGCAGGAGCUGGGAGCUGGCGAGUGUCGCUGCCGCAGAUGAGAUUAACCAGCUGAAGUUAACAACAAACUCUGGAUUUCAACAAACCCGAAUGAAUCACCAGGAACAAACCCUGCUCUGCGGCCGUCAGCCCUCUGAAGAGCACUCAUUGGCUCACUUCAAACUUAAAGAGCAACUUUUGACAAACACUCCAUCAAAAAACUGGCUAAUACUUGCUUCUCUCUUAAUCCUCCUUGAGCUGUUUCCCUGUUGCUAAUCUCUCCCAGAAACCAUUAUUAAAUCUUUCCUGGUUUGCAACGCUAAUUCUGAGCAAAUGCACCAGGAACAAAACAUCAGCUGGGCCUGUGUCUUUGUGUCAUUUGCAUGCUCCACGGGAAGAUCGUUUCGCUUCUAAUGAGACUAAUUAAAAAGAAACAAAAAAUAAUAAAUCAAUCCCAUUAAUCUUAAUAAAUUGAAGCACUAUGGUCCUUCCCAAAGCGUUAGUGACUGCCAGCUCCUAACAUGCUGGAAUGCAAAAUUGCUCCUACUGUAAAAUCAUGGGAUCAUAGAACAGUUUGGGUUGAAGGGACCUUCAAAGCUCAUUGAAUCCACCACCCAGCCAUGAGCAGGGACAUCUUCACCAGCUCAGGUUGCUCAGAGCCCCGUCCAGCCUGGCCUGGGAUGUCUCCAGGGAUGGGGCAUCCACCACCUCUCCUUGUAAAACAUCUCUUCCUCAUGUCUAGGUUGAACCUCCUCUCCUUUAGUUUAAAGCCAUCACCCCUUGUCCCACCGCAGCAGGUCCUGCUAAAAAGUCUGUCCCCAGCUUUUUUGUAUCCCCCUUUUAAGCACAGAAAGGCCUCAAUAAGGUCAUCCCAGAGCUUUUUCUUCUCCAGGCUGAACACCCCAACCCUCUCAGCUUGUCCCCAUAGGAAACAUCCCUCAGCAUGCCCCCAUGUUCUGGUUUCUUAGUCUGUUCUCUCUGUUCUGGGCUGUGCUGGGGGUCGAGCAGCCCCUGCGGUCCAGGGCUGGGAGGUAAAUCCCUCAUCGCAGCCCCAGGCUCCGCAGGGCUCAUCCCAGAAGACAGCGACGGGUGGACGUGUUCCUAAAAUUAACCUGUAAAAAGUGCUUUGAUAGGAUGCUGACAGCUAAAGCGGAAUCAAAUUAUCGUUUGGAAUUGCCAUGAGAUAAUUGGCCUCAUUUACUAUUUUAAGACAAAAAAAAAAAAAAGGCUCCCUCUUCUCCCUCUUCCAGACAACUGCAAUGGAGAAAUAUUCAGGAGUAGAUGAUGUCCCCAAACAUAUCAUUAAAGCUUUAAAUAAAUGUAUGAUGACAUCUCCUGCUAAGAAAGACUUCCUUUGUAUUUCAGAUAGGAACCAGCCAGGUCAUUUUCAAUGUCAUUUUUUAAUAAACAAAAGAGAUUCCUCUUUUUUUCCAGGCACACAGCUUAAAAUAUUUGGAGAUGUAAGUAUGUAAUUUGAAUUCCUUCACACAUUAUUGAUUUAAAAAUAAUCUUUCUUAGAGAUGCCUCUUACUUGCCAAAAGGUAAAUGCUUCUGUCUGCUGUGUUUUGUCAGUUUUACUCUACUUGAACAGCUACAGAGCUGACCCAGUCCCACCCUGCAGAUUAUCAUGUUUGUAAAAGGGAGAAAGAGAUGAGAACUAUCCCUUUCUCACUCUCUCAUUAAUUGCAAGGAUUAAACGCCAAGGCAGCUACACAGUAUUACGAAGGAAAUAAAAAUAUGAAUUGGAGGAGCCAAGUUCUGCAUUUGCUGCUCCACUGUCCCGAUGUAUCCGAGCCCAUCGCACCCACUCCCAGACCCAAACCCCUCCCAUGGCAGCAAAACAAUCACCCGCCGAGCAAAACAAUCUGUUCUCGUGAUAAACCUGAGCGGUAUUUUGGGUAAAUACUACACUUAUCUGUUGAAGGCACUGAACAUGUUAUUGAGAAAUGGACACUGAGUAAAUUAUCCUGACCCCAUUCAUUUUCUGAUUAAUUUCAAAGUCGCUUUCUUAUUUGAAAAAAUCUACACCUAAAGUUAAAUAGGAAGACUCUUACUUUUCUCACUGUUCUGUGGGCUCAUUAUAUCUUCAUCUCACCAUUGUAACACCAAAAGCGUGAAAUUAAUUUUCUUUUCUUUUUCUCAGUAAGUCGCUGUUUGCCUAGUGCAAGCAACAUUAUGUCUGUGCUGAUGUGUCAGACGUUAAAAAUACCGUGAGACCGUUUGAUGAGCAGUGAGGCUUUUGUAAAAUUAUAGAUCUUGAAGGGACUUUAUCUUGCCAUCUGGAUUUCACAUCUCUUUAGAUUCCCCUUUGCUGCUGCAAAGCACCCGCAGUGCAGGCAGGGGGAGGAGCCACGGCCAGGGGGAGGAGCCACAGCUGGGGAGGAGCCAUAAAUGGGCGGUCCCACCAAGUGGGCGUGGUCAUGAAGGGCCAAUCAGGGAGCGGUGCUGCCUCUAAAAGCUCUGCCUUUGGGCAACUGGGGAGACCAGGGGGUGGUGGGGGUGGUUGGCUCUGGUUACCCAAAGCCUGAUUCCUAGCCUGGGCAUCUAUUAAAAGGGAGUGUUUAGAGAUGUGCGAAGUGUGAAUGAGGUCUGGAGCCUCCUUUGGCUGCAGGACAGGUGAGAGAUGCCCCAGGUAUGACACCCCCUGAUGCUUCCCCCAUCCAAGGUAGCAGCAGCUCCCAUCAGCUCGUGGGUUCAUUCUCCUCCUCCACUCUUCUGACUGCUCCUCAAGACUUGUCCCCUUGGCCUGGGAAAGCUCUGAGCUGCUCUGGGCUCAGGAGGCCUGGAGGUUCACCCUCUACUUGGCAACUAACUUAUGCACGCUAAGCACAAGCAAGACAAAACCACCUUCGUGGUCCAGGAGGGCAGCUGUUGUGUGCUGGGGCUGUUCCUGGGCUGUCUCCUCCAGCACAGCUUUGCUGUUGCUCGCUCACCUCUCUCCUUCUGAGCAUCUCUGAAGCUGGUGUGUGUAUUUAGAGCAAAACCUUGGGUGGCUGUAGUAGGUUCGCAUGAUUGAUCCCAACACCAAACCAUCCCAUACCAGGAUGGUGAGCAGGUCCCGAAACUUCGUGAUAUCUGAGAAGUUUCCAGCUGCUCUCCUUUCAUGUCUGUCUGGUGGACACCAACCCUUGGAACCUUGAGAAGGUCUGUACCAAGCAGAGCUCGUGGGGAAAGGUGGUGGUGACCUGCACAUGUGCAGGGCUGCCUGUUUUUGUUGCUGCCUCUCUGUCCCCAGCGGUGUGGGUGGCAUGGGCUGUUUGUCUUGGAGGUGCUGGGAUGGACUGGAAACCAGCACUGACCUCUGAAGCAAUGCUGGGGGUGUUUGGCUGUCCAGCCAGUGGCUCGGCUUGCCUUGAGUUCACGAGAUCUGAUUUUUGAGAUAGUACAAACAGACCCGUCGUCCCCAGCAGCCAGACUCGCUGGCUGGUGUCACCUCUGCCGAGGACGAGAACAGCGUGUCGGUGUCGCUGGAGGUUAAAUCACAGCAAAUCACAUUUCUUGUCCGCAAAUGGGCUGCACACGUGCUUUCUUUAAUCAGUAUUUAGUUUGUUGAAUUACUUUUAUUGGUAGUUAACUGUGUGAUGGUCUCAGUUGAACAGCUGGUCCAUGAUUUGAAAAGAAUAUUCUUCAACCCUUGCUGAGUGCAAUUAUUUUUGGAUACAAGUGGAGUCUUUAGAGCCAUUAAGAAGAUAAAACACAGAUUGUUUGCAGAGAUUUUUUUUUAUUAUUAUUUUAAUAGCUUUCAAAGAGAGGAACUUUUAUUAUUUUUUCUAUUGUUAGCAGACAGUGCAGUGGAACCCAAGCAGAAGGGCUGGGAAGAGACACAGAUGUUCCCUUUGCCACUGGCUGGGCUGCUGGGCACCCAAACCCAGGGCAGAGGGUUUGAACCUCCCUCCAAAGCUGCCGUGAUGUUUCCCAGAUCUUGCAGUAGCUCAUCUGCCCACCGGUUUCUUAGCAAAACCACUGAGGGCUGGUGUGGGGCUCCCUAUAUAAUGAUUUAAAAGCAUGUCAGUGGAUGGGGCAAUGGCAAAACAGAGGAAAUUAAGGACUUUGUACUUUCUUCCAUUGAUGGGGAAAAUCACAGACAGAUCCCAAACCUCUGACUCCCAGCCCAGCACCAGCUCAUCCAGACCACAAAAGAAAAUAGGCGAUCUCCAUUUUUAGAGCACGGUGGGUUGUGGUAGCAACUGGGACACCCUUAUCCUCAAGAGUAAGAGUAUGUAUUCUCUCUCUCUCAAAAAAAAGGCAUUGAUUUAUCAGUAGAUAAUAAGUUAUCUCAUGAGUUAAAUGGAGUUUGUAUGUUAUGCCCCUCCACGAAGGAGGCUGGCUGACUUCUCUUUCUCUGCAAGAGGAGUGCUUUAAAUUAUUUAGAGGAAACUACACAAUCUUGGCUGCAGUUUGCUAUUAUGAUUGCAGAGCUUGUCCCAGUGAAAACCACAGGCAGAGAGGCUGUAAAAUUAUGGCUGUCUCUUUAGUGGGAAGAUAAAGCGAAAUUGUUAAAGCAGGUAAGGAUUGGAUGCUUUUAGUUUAUCCUGGGGACAUGUUGUUGUAGACUGAGUCUCCCAAACUUCAGUCUGAAGUCAACAAUGCACUUAUUUGGGUUGGAGAUUAGUAACAAGUUUCAAAAGGAAAGCCUAUACCUAAUAAUAAAUCAGUGUUUCAUUCCAGCACCUCUGUAUACCUUGAUUUUCUUUUUUAAUGCCCUUGUGUUUCAAAACUGCAAGGGCAAGAAAAGGAAAGGAACUCAAUCAUAAACAUUAUUCAGUAUCAUUUGUUAUACUGAGGGGAGGAAAACCCUUACAACUUCAAUACAUAAUUAAAAAUGUCUAAUAAAAAGCACUAGUAAAUUGGGUGAUCAACAGCAAAUGGCAGAGCAGCAUCUGUUCCUUCCCACUAGGUAAGGAUGCUGCAGGUGUGUGGAUAAUGCAAUAUCAGCUGGGGGGGAAGAUCCUUGUCCCGGGCACCCUUUCUGCUGCCACCUCCCUGCUCUGCUCUUCCUUCCCCCCCUUUUUUGGUGGUGUUUGUAUUUGUUUUCCCCUUCCUGACUGUAUGAAUCUCUGCUGCUCACUGGGGUCAUUCUAACCUUGCCUCGGUGCUGGCAGCUGAUGGGAACGGGCUGUUUGGCAAUAACUCUUCUCAGGGAGCACUCUUUGUGGACAUAGUAUUCAGUAAUAAAAGUAAUGAUUUUGGAACAGUGCACUUGUGUAGGGAGCUACGCCACAAGAAUUUAUUAAAUGGUUUAUUCUGCAAUAAAUGCAACAUAAAUUGAAAAAAAAAGAAGUCAGGACAAACGGAGGAGCGGGGAAGGACCUCAAGAGGACAACUGCCCCGUUCCCAACGAUGCCAGAGUACAUGUGUUUGCUGGAUCUGGGUAAUCAACACCCGGGUUGAUUGCCUGCGGCUCCUCCAGCGUUCUUGCCAUGAGAACAGCUCGAAUGAUUUGGGCCUUAACUGCUUGUCAGCUUUGCUUCCUGUUUUCUCACUUUGUUGGAAGUCAACAGUAAUGUAGAGGUUUUUUUUUACUAGUGGGAUGUAAAAUAAGGAGAAUCAGUGAAUUUCUUGCACAAGCAGAGAAUUAGCGCCCUGCCGAAGAGCCGCGGAGCCUGCGUGUGUUCGCGCAGCAGGAUCCUCUAUCUGUCUUCAGCACAGUUGUGUUCAGAUCAAAUUAAGAUGAAAUUAUGGCACUGGGACUUCAUGUAGGUUAAAAUGGCUCUGUAUAAAACGCCUCCAGCAUUGCAAACAUGGGUUCUUGAGUCAGAAUGGCGAUCUUUGACUUAACCUGCCCUCUAGUCCAGCUUUAGGGGUCAGUUACUGUGGAGGGAUUGGUUCAUCCCAAGGCAGAUGCAGAAAACUCACUGUCUUGCUGCAGAACCAGCAAUAAAAUAUUUUUUUGAAGCAAGAAAAUAAUCAGGGUGGUUUUAAUGAGGCUCAGAAGGAAGACUCUCUUAUCAGCAGAAAAUUCAGCUGUUAUUCAACUCAUUCCUCCUUAUUAACCCUUAGUGACCACCCAUGGGUGAGCACUCAGUCUUUUCCAACCAAAAUGAUUCUGUGACUCUGUGGUACAAACCAUUUCCUCCAUCAGCAUCUGGGAGGUGAUGGGUGAGCCCUGGUGUAAGUGGGGGACAGGGACCUGUGGUCAGCACAUGGGACGCCCCUGGCUGGGUGCUCAUCAUGCGUUUCUCUACCAGCAUCAGUUCAGCACCGUGUGGGUGGGUAUGGAUUCUGCCUGGGGGGGCGCUGCCGGAGCGGAUUUCUAAUUAUAGCUAAUUGCAGGGUUGAUACAUUCUGGAUUUGGUCUGAUACAAGUCAAACGAUUUCCUGUUGUUCAGCACUUUGCAGACACGUACCCAGAGGCACCGAGAGGGACGUGUUUUCUGAAAGCAUCCAGCUGGGCAAACACACGCUCUUCCUUUUCCUUCCCGUGCACGGACCUUGCUGAAGCAAAACGCCCACAGCCUGGUUCUGUGGUCUGGGGUGAUGCUGACUCUGUAUUUUAUUUAAUAGUGUAGAGGUCCCUGAACCAGGUGAAAUACUCUGAUUUAGUUAAGCUGGGGGCUCCUGGGAGGACCAGGGUCCUUGGCCACACUGAGCCCUUUUCCAUCCCCAAAACACCGCAGAGAAGGUCCCUGGCAGUGAGGAUGAAUGGAGCUGGGCUGGCCCUUGCCUCAGGUGAAGGCUGGAGUGUCACCCAUCACAAAUAUCUCCAAAUUAUCAAACCUCCAGCUCUGUUCAGUUAUUGGGUGAAACAUUUUGGCUCGUGGUGGAGAGCAGCUCAUACGAGAUGUUUUCAUGGCUGUUUCUGAUCUUAAAACCAAUGAGUCCCUGAAUUGCUAUCCAAACCCAGAAAAACAUCCUUGUAGCUACGCUGGCAUUUAUCACAUAACGAUGUACCCAAGUGUAUCUAAGCACGAAGUCUGCAUUAUCAGACCUUUGGAGAUUACUUUUAUCAUCUUCCCUCUAUUAAAUAUAGCUCAGCUCUGCUGCCUUGAACAUGAAUAAAAUUUGCUGGCUAUUCCUUCUAGGAAUCAUCCAUUAAGUAUUUUUAAAAUGCUGUUCAGCGAUGUGUUUGCCCUGUGUUUGUGCUCAAUGGGAUCACUGUUGCGUAAUCCACAGUGUUCCCUGUGCAUGAUGAUUAUUUUUUGGCUGAUUUAUGUAGGAAGUAACCUUCACCGCUUCACCACUUUUUUAAUGUAUUUUAACAAAUCUGAACACGUGGCGGAUUCUGUUAUCUCGAGCUGUGGGGUUUUGCCCUUGGCUGGAAGUGUGGACAAGGUCAGAGGGAGGGAGAUGGCGGUUUCUCUGGCUGGAGAUGCUGAUUGAUGGCUCUGUGGGGUUGCUUUGCACAGUUCGCUCUGAAGAACAGUGGCUGGGUGAUGCUGAUGGGGUUGGGGGAUCAAAAGGUUGUACCUGGAUUUCAGCAGAGAAAGGUCAGGGUUGGGGGACCACAGCUCAGCAUCCCACUGGAGGAAGGAUGCUCUGCUCAUCUCCUCCACAGGAGACCCCCCAAAGGGAGGAGGAGACACACAUAUCCAGUGUUAAAUGGCAUAUGACUCAAGGAAAAAGAAGAAAAAUCAUGCCUCUUUAUUACAUAGAUUUAUCUAGCUGUGCCGGGGCCUGACAACCACCACCAGAUGCUCAUCUUCUCAGUUGCGUUAUUGGAUUCUGGGACAUCCUGGUAAUUGCCAUAAGUGGGAGAUGAUUCCCCAGCGUCUGGCAUGUGUUAAUACUGAUUCAGAGCGCUUAUCAGUCCACUUAAGGAAAGACCGUACGUGCUCUGUCUGCAGUCAGAGGCAGCCUGGUAAAUUCUGAAGGAUCAACAUUUGAUCCUAUCUUUUUUUCCCUUCAAAUUGCUGCUGAAUGACUGAGUCCUCACCACCGGACCCUGCUGCAGCUUGGACAGUUAAAGGUACAGAGGCAUUGCCCAGAUGUCACCCCCUUUUCUGGCGAUGGGUAGGAAAGUGCUGUCCUGUUUCCCCCAGCUUUGCCCCCAGGUGGUAUUUCAGGAGCUGCCGAAACGCCAACAUGUCCCAACAGAAAUCUUCCAACAAAUUAAAACUACUUCUGUUGGGUUUGUUGUUGUUGUUUCAGGUUCAAACUGCCUGUUCCCUUUGUGGCUGACUGCAGGUAUUGAUGAGCACAGCUGCUUGGAUGCUACUCAGCUGGAUGGCUUUUAAGGGAGGAGAGAGCAGUAGGUGGAGGUCUCUGGGGGCGGUGGAAUCUCAGGCAGGUGGGUUUCCCUGCUCAGCUCAAAGAGAGGAAAAGGGAAGAAUAAAACCAGCUAAAAGCAGAUAUUUCAGUAAUUGCUCCAAAGGUGCUGUUUUCAUUCCAGGUAGGAAUGAAAAACACAGGGUUUAGGCAGUUUUAAGAAUUUUUGUUCCCACUUCCUUCCUCUGAGGAGCCUGACAGCGUUGGGUCAAAAAUGAGAGUAGAUGCUGGUGUGUGUGCAGCAACGCUGGCGACCUCCUGUCUUCCAGCAGAGCUGUGGAGGUUUUUGAGGGAAACAAUGGUGCAAAAGGGUCUGUUUAAACAGGGGAAUGAAAUGUUUCCCAGCGUCGCUCCUGGCUGAGGAAUGCUGUUGGGUUUUAAACAGUAUGCGAGGGCAGGGAAAAGGCAUUUUUCAGGCGUGCAGGGCUCCAGCGCUGUCUAGACUUCAUAAUGCAACGGUGCUCACCGCCCUGCCUUGAACUGCUGCCACAGCGUCUCAGCACCUCCUAUAAAUGGCAGCUGAGAAGCCUUUCCCUCUGCCAAAGCCUCAGUCAUGCUAACGAGACCCUGGUUCCUGUCGAAUUUGGCAAUCUGUCCCACUAAACUGGUGAACUUGGAGCAGGUGGUGGCAAAGCUCAUUUCCUAAAAACCACAUCCCUCUGGAGACAAAAAGCCACACCUGAGUUCCCAUGGUGGGGUGACUGCAGCUCACUCCAGGCCAAGGGAGAUGUCUGGAUGCGGAGUGGAUGCUCCUGCCUGGGAACCUGAGAUCAGAGCUCUGCGGAGAGAUGUGGCUAUAUGAAGACUCCGAGUUCAGACGCAGGAAUUAUGAAGUGCUGGCCUGGCUUUUUUGGAAGUAUUAUUUGCCUUUUAUAGUCACUGUCUGCAGCCCAGGCUGAUCAUCCUGUUGCAGAGGAAAACAGGCAGCAGACGAAGACGUGGAUGAAGUAAUGAAUCCAUCUCCCUGCAGCCUAGCCAGGAGAGAGAUCGCGCCGCUGCAGGUUUUGCCCGCUUGAGCUGUCGAGUGAAUGUAGCAGGAGCACCAUGUGUGUGAGGAGCCAUAAAUCAUGAGGAGGAGCCAUAAAUCCUGAGGAGUCUCCCAGGAAAGCAUCAGGGGAUCGUGGAGGAGAAGAAUGGGCCAGCAGCUGGUGAGCUCGCCCAGUGACUUGUGUCCAGCUUUACUGGGAUACAGGAACCUUCCACCUGCCCACGGGUGCUGGAGGGCCAAGGAUGUCUUGGGAAACACAGGCUCAGGCUGCCCUGCAGUGGGAGGUAUUUUUUCUGAAAGCUUAUCCUGAACUUUUAAAGGAUUUUUUUUCAGCUUCAAAACCUAUAUAUUAUAAAGCAAAAUUCCUCACGUUGUUAGCAUAACUUUCAGCCAGCAUCAUUGGAUCCUGAGUCUGUUGCCAGCAGCAGCACCAGUGAUUUCCCCGGUUUGCUGCAAGGCAAAAGGACAAGCCGGGUUCCCGCUUUGCUGAGCCUCUUCGCUCACAAGGAACCAAAAUCCCCACGAAAAUUGGGCUGUCGCCACAUCAGCACUGCCAACAGCCGCCUCCGGGUGUGGCUGCCCUGGAAUGCAUUUAACACCCACCCUGAGCAUUUUUCUCCUCCUCUGCAUUUUUCCCCAUACAAUUUCCCUCACAAUUGAGUCCCUGGUGCUGGUUUGCAGGGACAGGCACCCUUUGCUGCUGGCCAGGUGGCUGGUGGCAUGUCCCUUGCCGGAGCAAUCUGUCCCCAUCUCGCUGUCAUGCUUUGUUCCCUGUGCUCAGUUUUACUCCCCUGCUAAACCCAGUCCACUGCUAUUUUAAUACCCAGGGAUAAACCCGUCUCUUUGCUGCGUCUCGCACAUGUUGCAAGCGGCACAAGAUAUGAAGCUGAGCAUGUCUGUGUUUAGCACCUGCCAGGCAGGUCCUGGCAAGGAAUGCAUUGGCUCUUUGGUGUCACCAGCUCCAAAUUACAGCAUUUCUUCUUCCCCCACUCGAGAUGCCUCCUCGGCUGAAAUGACAGCAUCAAAUUCUCCCUGUGUGACAGAAGGUUGGUUGUUCUUUGGUAUGGAGUUUGUUUUAUUAUUAAUUUCAUAUUUUUUUGUUGCUUUGUCUUUUGUUUGUUUAUUUGUUUUGUGUUUUCUAUCCCACUGCCAGAAAAGGGGAGAAGAUGCAAAUGCUGUUGCAUCCCAGUGUCUGCCCGGCACAGCUUGGCCCGAGUGUUUGUCCCUCCUGGAUCCCAAAUGCUGAUGCUGUGCCAAGACCAAACAUGACAGGAGCCAAACCACGCCACGAACUCCGGGAAGUGCAAAGGUGGGAAGUUAAAAGGCACUUGGGACUUGUUUUCCAGGAGGGUUUACGGGACGUCGCUUUAGCUUCACCCUCUGUUUACUGCAGGGUGCCUAGGUUUGGUCCAUUUGGUUCUUGUGGCUUCUGCCAUUGUGCUGGAACAGGGACAUGUCAAGGGAAGUAAUUCUUUUUGGCUUUUUCACAUCCUUAGCUUGUGACUCAGUUAUCAAGAGUUGUUACCUUUGCAUCUCCGGCAGAUGAAGAGAGGACCACUGCAUCACUUCUGUGUCACCCAGGAGAGCUCGAAUAUUGUGAUUAAAACAUUCCAGUCUCGCAUAGUCCGCUCAGACAUGUGGGAAGAAACCUUUGCAAUUAGAUUCCCUGUGCACCGGUAGGAGGGCAGGAGUUUCACCUUUUUAUCUUUUCCAUAACUAUAUUCUGCUGUGAUUUUUAGAGCAGCAGGGAAAAAAAAAUGCCUGUUUGAUUUUCUUCUUUAUGCUAAGCCUGGUUUUACUUUCUGAUUGCCAAAGCAUGAUAAAUGGAACAGAGAUUACCUAGAGACUUUCAAAGAUUUGCUUUCAAAUUUUGUUUUUGCUGAGCCUCAUUAAGCUUGCAGGUUUUAUCUACGCUUUGUUCUUACAGUAGAGUAGCUUUGCCAUGUUUUAAUAGCUUUUUUUCAUUAUUAUUAUUUGAAAUUAAAACCAGAUAGAGGCUUCUCAUGCUUAGCGUUCAAAUCCUAUUUUUAAAAAUGUUGAUCAUGUGUGCAUGGUUUUUCUUUUCCUCUGAUCACACUGGCCCUGUAAAGGACAGUCACUAACGAAACGCUUUGGACCUUUGUGCACUAAUGGGUGCGAUUUUGUAGAUUCAGGGACAGAUUUUAGAAAGUACAAUGUAUAGAUAAAAGAAAAAUGUGGUUUCCAACAGAGAGACAGGCAAGACAAAUAAUUAUAGAGGUCCUGCUUUUAAAUCUUAUGGGGUACAUAGCAGCUUAGAUGUGAUAAGAUAGUCCAUGGUGUAUCUAGGAGCAUCAUCCAGGAGCUAAAUGCUAUUGAAAGAUCUCGUUUUCCAUUAUUUUAGGAGAAAUGGCCAAAAACCUUCUCAUAGUCUCGAUGGUCUCUUCCAACCAAAGUGAUUCUACCUCAGUCUGCAAAGGGUGACCCCAGGGUCACCAAGCGGGGGGCACAGAGGGCAAGGGACCCCAUGGAGCAUCACGCGCCCUGAGGCAGAGGGACCGGGCGGCACAGCUGGAUUUACCUCCACCUUGGCUGGUCCAGCACCUGGAGAGAUGGGAGCACGGGUGGCGAUGCAAAGCUGGUGCUGGGAAGGCCGGGCUGUCCCGCGGUGUCCCCGCCGUGCACCGCCGCGCUGUCACCAGGAGGUGGCACAGCCCGAGCGCGGCCGCUCCGGAGCGGGGCCGGAGCCGACCCCCCCGCCAAGGGCAGCGACGUGAUUCACUCGGGCAGUUCCAGGAAACGGGAGAAAAGUCUUGUCUCUUCUUUCUCGGAAAUGCAUUGUGCGAAAUCCUUUUACAAUAAAAAAGACCAAACAAACAAACAAAAAACACAC